RNAcentral lists this ribosomal RNA (1540 nucleotides) under Salmonella enterica. Its description in RNAcentral is "partial 23S ribosomal RNA". It matches the Rfam family "Bacterial large subunit ribosomal RNA", at positions 1292 to 2815 of the family's 2925-position model. Lineage: Bacteria; Pseudomonadati; Pseudomonadota; Gammaproteobacteria; Enterobacterales; Enterobacteriaceae. The record is from RNAcentral. RNAcentral also lists the same sequence under 1 other name.
GAAUGCUGACAUAAGUAACGAUAAAGCGGGUGAAAAGCCCGCUCGCCGGAAGACCAAGGGUUCCUGUCCAACGUUAAUCGGGGCAGGGUGAGUCGACCCCUAAGGCGAGGCCGAAAGGCGUAGUCGAUGGGAAACGGGUUAAUAUUCCCGUACUUGGUGUUACUGCGAAGGGGGGACGGAGAAGGCUAUGUUGGCCGGGCGACGGUUGUCCCGGUUUAAGCGUGUAGGUGUGUGUUCCAGGUAAAUCCGGUUCACUUUAACACUGAGGCGUGACGACGAGGCACUACGGUGCUGAAGCAACAAAUGCCCUGCUUCCAGGAAAAGCCUCUAAGCAUCAGGUAACAUCAAAUCGUACCCCAAACCGACACAGGUGGUCAGGUAGAGAAUACCAAGGCGCUUGAGAGAACUCGGGUGAAGGAACUAGGCAAAAUGGUGCCGUAACUUCGGGAGAAGGCACGCUGACACGUAGGUGAAGUGAUUUACUCAUGGAGCUGAAGUCAGUCGAAGAUACCAGCUGGCUGCAACUGUUUAUUAAAAACACAGCACUGUGCAAACACGAAAGUGGACGUAUACGGUGUGACGCCUGCCCGGUGCCGGAAGGUUAAUUGAUGGGGUCAGCGCAAGCGAAGCUCCUGAUCGAAGCCCCGGUAAACGGCGGCCGUAACUAUAACGGUCCUAAGGUAGCGAAAUUCCUUGUCGGGUAAGUUCCGACCUGCACGAAUGGCGUAAUGAUGGCCAGGCUGUCUCCACCCGAGACUCAGUGAAAUUGAACUCGCUGUGAAGAUGCAGUGUACCCGCGGCAAGACGGAAAGACCCCGUGAACCUUUACUAUAGCUUGACACUGAACAUUGAGCCUUGAUGUGUAGGAUAGGUGGGAGGCUUUGAAGUGUGGACGCCAGUCUGCAUGGAGCCGACCUUGAAAUACCACCCUUUAAUGUUUGAUGUUCUAACGUGGACCCGUUACCCGGGUUGCGGACAGUGUCUGGUGGGUAGUUUGACUGGGGCGGUCUCCUCCUAAAGAGUAACGGAGGAGCACGAAGGUUGGCUAAUCCUGGUCGGACAUCAGGAGGUUAGUGCAAUGGCAUAAGCCAGCUUGACUGCGAGCGUGACGGCGCGAGCAGGUGCGAAAGCAGGUCAUAGUGAUCCGGUGGUUCUGAAUGGAAGGGCCAUCGCUCAACGGAUAAAAGGUACUCCGGGGAUAACAGGCUGAUACCGCCCAAGAGUUCAUAUCGACGGCGGUGUUUGGCACCUCGAUGUCGGCUCAUCACAUCCUGGGGCUGAAGUAGGUCCCAAGGGUAUGGCUGUUCGCCAUUUAAAGUGGUACGCGAGCUGGGUUUAGAACGUCGUGAGACAGUUCGGUCCCUAUCUGCCGUGGGCGCUGGAGAACUGAGGGGGGCUGCUCCUAGUACGAGAGGACCGGAGUGGACGCAUCACUGGUGUUCGGGUUGUCAUGCCAAUGGCACUGCCCGGUAGCUAAAUGCGGAAGAGAUAAGUGCUGAAAGCAUCUAAGCACGAAACUUGCCCCGAGAUGAGUUCUCCC